Molecule: long non-coding RNA, 1047 nt
Filed under: Citrus maxima (pomelo)
Lineage: Eukaryota; Viridiplantae; Streptophyta; Magnoliopsida; Sapindales; Rutaceae
Description: long non-coding RNA (CMAX_LNC003648)
Source: RNAcentral
UAUAUUUGUUUUAUUUUUAAUUUUAUUGACCAGGCUAAUAAAUACCCUAGGGUUACCCACCCAAAUCUGUAUUAAUUUCACUUUUUCAUACAAUACAAACCAGUUAAAUAAUUUUAUCAAACAUUCGUUUAGAAAGUAAGUACAAUAUACACCCUCUUAAUACAUGCUGCAAUACAUGCCCAUAGUGUACAAUUUAAUUCAGGAAAAAAAAAUUAUAUAUAAGAAGAAAUGAUGUCUCAAAAAUAUUAUUAAAAUCUAGAAACAAGCCUAAUAAUAUUGAAAUUAGAUUAGUAUGAUAUGAUAAUAUUAUUGAAAAUAAGUACACAAGAAGGGGCAACCUUAUUGCUCACUUUCUGUCUCUGACUGCUUAAAGAAAACAUGGGCAUCGCCGCCUCAAAGGCAGCAGUUUCCAAUAUUAGCAUAGCGUCGCGGGCGGGCCGCUGAAAUAGGCUCCACUAUGGACCACCGCCUACUUCUCGUGCGGGUCACCAUUUUUUAAAACGCAGACAAAAUAAGAUCAAACGACAGCAACAAAUUUUAGAAUCCCACAAGGCACGAGCUGGCGAGCUGCUCCUUGCCGGCUGGCGUGUCAGAUUAAGCGCGUGUACUGCACCUGGGGUCGGUGAUCACGUGCGUUUGUUGUCCGGAGAGAGAGGCAGGGAGAGAUGGCUCUGGAACACUGAAACCGAGUACUCUCUGAAGUUUCGUCUUGGGAAUUUACGCCAAUCUUGGCCGUUGAUUGUGUGGAAAGUAGGCGAUUUCGCGUCCGUUGAUUUGGCGAAUUUUUUUUGGCUAAUUGGUGAAAAUGAAAUUCCAAUGUAAUAAUGAAACAUAUUAUUGCGCAAUCCAGAAGAUGAAUAUGGCUCUUUCCGUUUUUGUCUUUUUCAUUUUUCCCGGAAACUGUGAUUCCAUGAAUAUGGACAUUGAAUGUAAACAAGUUGAGUCCACUUGGUCGUUGAAUAUUUGGGGCAUAAAUUUGAUUGAUUAAUUAACUAAUUAAUUAAUUGCAGUCAUGUCAAACGAAAGAUAGCUAAAACUUAUUCCUCA